AUUGUUAGUUGCCAUCAUUCAGUUGGGCACUCUAGCGAGACUGGCCGGUAAUAAACCCGGAGGAAGGUGGGGAUGACGUCAAAUCAUCAUGCCCCUUAUGACCUGGGCUACACACGUGCUACAAUGGUUGGUACAACGAGUUGCGAGUCGGUGACGGCGAGCUAAUCUCUUAAAGCCAAUCUCAGUUCGGAUUGUAGGCUGCAACUCGCCUACAUGAAGUCGGAAUCGCUAGUAAUCGCGGAUCAGCACGCCCGCGGUCGAAUACGUUCCGGCCUU
This 276-nucleotide ribosomal RNA is filed under the name uncultured Streptococcus sp. RNAcentral's name for it is "partial 16S ribosomal RNA". It matches the Rfam family "Bacterial small subunit ribosomal RNA", at positions 1107 to 1374 of the family's 1533-position model. Lineage: Bacteria; Bacillati; Bacillota; Bacilli; Lactobacillales; Streptococcaceae. The record is from RNAcentral.